UUUAGAGUUUGAUCCUGGCUCAGGACGAACGCUGGCGGCGUGCCUAAUACAUGCAAGUCGAGCGGACAGAUGGGAGCUUGCUCCCUGAUGUUAGCGGCGGACGGGUGAGUAACACGUGGGUAACCUGCCUGUAAGACUGGGAUAACUCCGGGAAACCGGGGCUAAUACCGGAUGCUUGUUUGAACCGCAUGGUUCAAACAUAAAAGGUGGCUUCGGCUACCACUUACAGAUGGACCCGCGGCGCAUUAGCUAGUUGGUGAGGUAACGGCUCACCAAGGCAACGAUGCGUAGCCGACCUGAGAGGGUGAUCGGCCACACUGGGACUGAGACACGGCCCAGACUCCUACGGGAGGCAGCAGUAGGGAAUCUUCCGCAAUGGACGAAAGUCUGACGGAGCAACGCCGCGUGAGUGAUGAAGGUUUUCGGAUCGUAAAGCUCUGUUGUUAGGGAAGAACAAGUACCGUUCGAAUAGGGCGGACCUGGACGGACCUAACCA
RNAcentral lists this ribosomal RNA (496 nucleotides) under Bacillus mojavensis. RNAcentral's name for it is "bacterial SSU rRNA". It matches the Rfam family "Bacterial small subunit ribosomal RNA", at positions 1 to 485 of the family's 1533-position model. The record is from RNAcentral. Lineage: Bacteria; Bacillati; Bacillota; Bacilli; Caryophanales; Bacillaceae.